RNAcentral lists this ribosomal RNA (423 nucleotides) under uncultured bacterium. RNAcentral describes it as "bacterial SSU rRNA". It matches the Rfam family "Bacterial small subunit ribosomal RNA", at positions 355 to 775 of the family's 1533-position model. The record is from RNAcentral.
UAAGGAAUAUUGGUCAAUGGACGCAAGUCUGAACCAGCCAUGCCGCGUGAAGGAUGAAGGUCCUCUGGAUUGUAAACUUCUUUUAUGUGGGAAGAAACCCUUGAAUUCUUUUAAGGUUGACGGUACCAUAGGAAUAAGCACCGGCUAACUCCGUGCCAGCAGCCGCGGUAAUACGGAGGGUGCAAGCGUUAUCCGGAUUCACUGGGUUUAAAGGGUGCGUAGGUGGGUUUGUAAGUCAGUGGUGAAAUCUCCAGGCUUAACCUGGAAACUGCCAUUGAUACUAUAGAUCUUGAAUUUUCUGGAGGUAAGCGGAAUAUGUCAUGUAGCGGUGAAAUGCUUAGAUAUGACAUAGAACACCAAUUGCGAAGGCAGCUUGCUACAGGAAUAUUGACACUGAGGCACGAAAGCGUGGGGUUCAAACAG